AUGGUCCAGCCGCUCCUCGGUAAGGGCCAGGCAGACCAGCCCGCGGCCGUACUUGGCCAUGAAGUUGAUGGCUUCCGGAGUGACCUUCUCGGCGGCCAGCGUCA
Molecule: non-coding RNA, 104 nt
Organism: Chloroflexi bacterium 13_1_20CM_2_59_7
Lineage: Bacteria; Bacillati; Chloroflexota
Source: Rfam